UGGGGAAUAUUGGGCAAUGGGCGCAAGCCUGACCCAGCAACGCCGCGUGAAGGAAGAAGGCUUUCGGGUUGUAAACUUCUUUUGUCAGGGAAGAGGAGAAGACGGUACCUGACGAAUAAGCCACGGCUAACUACGUGCCAGCAGCCGCGGUAAUACGUAGGGAGCGAGCGUUGUCCGGAAUUACUGGGUGUAAAGGGAGCGUAGGCGGGGUAUCAAGUCUGUUGUUAAAUCUACCGGCUCAACUGGUAGCUGCGGCAGAAACUGGUACUCUUGAGUGAAGUAGAGGCAGGCGGAAUUCCGUGUGUAGCGGUGAAAUGCGUAGAUAUACGGAGGAACACCAGUGGCGAAGGCGGCCUGCUGGGCUUUAACUGACGCUGAGGCUCGAAAGUGUGGGGAGCAAACAGGAUUAGAUACCCUGGUAGU
This 423-nucleotide ribosomal RNA is filed under the name uncultured Oscillospiraceae bacterium. RNAcentral's name for it is "bacterial SSU rRNA". It matches the Rfam family "Bacterial small subunit ribosomal RNA", at positions 355 to 794 of the family's 1533-position model. The record is from RNAcentral. Lineage: Bacteria; Bacillati; Bacillota; Clostridia; Eubacteriales; Oscillospiraceae.